Molecule: ribosomal RNA, 477 nt
Filed under: uncultured bacterium
Lineage: Bacteria
Description: partial 16S ribosomal RNA
Rfam family: Bacterial small subunit ribosomal RNA
Source: RNAcentral
GAUGAACGCUGGCGGCGUGCUUAAUACAUGCAAGUCGAGCGAACGGACUCUAAUCUUGCUUCUCUCUUGUUUGCCGAAGACGUGUGAGUAACACGUGUAUACCCUCCCUAUCAUUCUGAUAUAUCUUCGGGACUCCGUAUCUAAUACCGUAUAAUCUUUUGCUCCGCAUUGUUCGUUAGUAAAUUUCGGUCUUUCUGGCGGUUCUCGAUGGAUCCGCGCUUCAUUAGCUUGUUGGUGGUUUAACGGCUUACCAAGGCAACGACGGGUAGCCGGCCUGAGAGGGUGACCGGCCACAUUGGGACUGAGAUACGGCCCAGAAUCCUACGGGAGGCAGCAGGGGGGAAUAUGGCACAAUGGGCGGAAGCCAGAUGCAGCAACGCCGCGUGCGGGAUGACGGCCUUCGGGUUGUAAACAGCUUUCGCAUGUGAUGAAGCGUGAGUGACGGUAAUGGGUAAAGAAGCACCGGCUAACUACGUG